GGCAGCUGGGCAAGCCUUCCUAUCUCACCGUGCCCCACCAAGAACCUCCAGAGAGGUUUGAAUUUUCUCGGAGAAGGACAGGCCGGCCACGAGGAAAACAGAAACAAGCCGCAGCAACAUCUAAGCCCUUGAAAGGAUCCUGAGAGAGGGGGGAAAGGGAAAACAGCAGCCACCAGCCCAACCACUUGUGUCUUCUGCCCCUUCCCACCUAUCUUGCCCACCCCACCAGCCCACGCUGCUUGGGACUUGAAAUCUGUGGCCGAAGGACCGUCACUACAUAACUUCAAAAAUAAUCAACCACCCUCCCUUCCCAAACCACCCAAAUUCACUCAUCCAGCGUUUACUUUUUUGAAUCCACUCAGAACUUUUUUCUGCGACCCCCCUCCCUAAAUGGAGUUGGGUGGGGGGGGAAAUGAAUACUGAGUUGGCCUUUAUUUUUUUUAAAGACUUUUUGAUCCAAUGAGGCCCCCUA
Molecule: small RNA, 472 nt
Filed under: Pongo abelii (Sumatran orangutan)
Lineage: Eukaryota; Metazoa; Chordata; Mammalia; Primates; Hominidae
Description: processed transcript
Source: RNAcentral